CCUACGGGUCGCACCAGUGGGGAAUAUUGCACAAUGGGGGAAACCCUGAUGCAGCCAUGCCGCGUGUAUGAAGAAGGCCUUAGGGUUGUAAAGUACUUUCGGUAAUGAGGAAGGUAAUUAUUCUAACAGGAUAAUUAAUUGACGUUAAUUACAGAAGAAGCACCGGCUAACUCCGUGCCAGCAGCCGCGGUAAUACGGAGGGUGCGAGCGUUAAUCGGAAUGACUGGGCGUAAAGGGCAUGUAGGCGGAUAAUUAAGUUAGGUGUGAAAGCCUUGGGCUCAACCUGAGAAUUGCACUUAAAACUGGUUAUCUAGAGUAUUGUAGAGGGAGGUAGAAUUCGACGUGUAGCGGUGAAAUGCGUAGAGAUGUGGAGGAAUACCGGUGGCGAAGGCGGCCUCCUGGACAGAUACUGACGCUGAGAUGCGAAAGCGUGGGGAGCAAACAGGAUUAGAUACCCCCGUAGUC
RNAcentral lists this ribosomal RNA (465 nucleotides) under uncultured bacterium. Its description in RNAcentral is "bacterial SSU rRNA". It matches the Rfam family "Bacterial small subunit ribosomal RNA", at positions 338 to 795 of the family's 1533-position model. The record is from RNAcentral.